GAGUAUGCCAUAUAUCUCGUGCUAAUCGUCGAAAGCUGCAAUAGACGUUUCGUUCUUGAUGUUCUUGUUGCUGUUGGCAUCUGAUUUCCGGUGUUCUCGAUACUUGCAUUGUUCUGGCCCAGCGGGAGGGUAGCCCCUUUGCAAAAUUAACGUUCCACCACUAUUUACGCGACUACUGGCCGAUUCUUAUCGGAAUCGAAUCUUCUCUCCUUCUUGUGCCUUUCUCGAAAUCGAUUAAUUGCUCGCUCGACAACGAAGGUCGGCCGAGAUUGGUGAUUCGGGGACGACGAACUCGAGUUCGUCUGCCGACUGAGUUCCCACGUGUCUAUUCUCCAUAUACUGGGUGUCGUAAAACGUACGAUCAAAAGUGUGUAGUAUUAAUGUAAGCAAUACAGAGAUGAUAUUUAAUAUUUGCGUUCUAAACGAUCUUCUACGCAAAUGUCGUUUUAUAAAUAUUUAUAAAAUAACUUUUAGAGAGAUAACUCGGUAGUCGAGAGGACUUCAAUGUUUGUUUUCUCAGAAAUAAGGAUAUUUGAAGUCGGUAAACAAUCAAAUAGUUUUAUCGAGUAUUAUAAUCUAAAUAUUUUACCUAUACAUAUAUUUUUAUAUGAUAUUCAUACAUAAUACUUUUGUGUAUUAUGUACAUUGCAGGCAUUUUUGUAUCUCUUUUAUUUCCUAUGGAUUUCACAGCCUACUUAUUAUUUUAAACACAAUUUGUCGAUGAUGGCGUUAUGGUCAUAGAAAGAAAUCAAGUAUACUUUUUCCAAAUAAAAUAAAGCACCGUUCUAUGAACCACUCAAGCAAACCACAUUUCAAUAAAUUGAAGAUAUCUAGAACGAUAUCGCCUCAAACGUUCUCUUCUAAACGUUCAACGCCAAUUUAAUACCAAUCUUUCUAAACACUCUAUGUACAUGUAUAGGUCGACGAACGAGACAACUCGCACGAAACAGGGCCAUGGUAUUGCGCAUCGAAUACACAAAAUUCGAGCAGGCCCGGUGUCACAGCCGUUUCCAGCUCGUAUCGUUACUCAGGACGGAUUACACGGGCGUAAAGAUUUCCGGGCGUAAAAAAUAAGGAAGCGAAGCGGCCAGAAGCGGCGACGUUACGAGGCGAAUCGUGUGCUGAUACGCACCUGUCCCGUACCGGAGCCAAUCACAGCGUCCUAACGAACGAAGAAGCCCUUUUUGCGGCCAGAACCUUUUUCUCUUUCUCUGCCCCUUUUCACCCUGCUUUCUUUCUCGUUCUUCUCAAUCGUGCUGCCAGCAAAUUACCAGCGAGUUGGCGCGGAAUUCGCAAGAGUCGAACGGGCCUGGCAAUCGCACGCUUCUAAUUAACGAAACUGCGUCCUUUCUCUACUUUUGUCCACCUCGUGUGUUACAUACUCGUUGAUUAAAGCCGCAAUAUAUCGGCUAGCUAAGCUAAGUUAUGCUAUGUUAAAUAUACAAGUAUUAGCUUCAAUAUACGGAACCGUCUUCACUAAAAAUUAAACUAAACCAUUAGCCUGAUUUUUAGUUGACUUCUGAUACUUUCCUGAAAUUACUGGUUAUCUAAAUAUGGAGAUAUCUUCAUAAUACAGCAGUCUUUCUUCAAUUUUGUUUCUUCUUUUGUUCUUUCUGUUUUGUUGUUGUUUCUUAACAAAGUUUCAAUGAAAAUCCUGAUUUGUGCAUUAGAAUCAGUUUGUUCGUCUACCGAUGUGAGAAAGUUAUCAACAGACUACAGAUUUUUAUACAAAUUUACAUCUUUAUGAAUGCAAAUAAAGCAGAAGGCAAAAAUUAUAUUUUACUUUGGCUAUUUUACGUAUCUUUCGCGCCUUUAUAUUUCAAAAUAAAAUUACAGUAAAAAUUCACAGUCUAGUUUUGAUGGAUAAAAUUAAAAUUGUUGUGUGCGGUCAUGACAUCCGACAAAAUCGACGUCCGCUUGCGACAGUCGUUUUAGCGCACUUUGUGCCCUUGGUUUUACGUGGCGCGUUUGAGGAAGGACGGCUGAAAAUCUGGUUCCUGCGAGAAAACGUACUGUUUAUCGGCAUCCGUUACCAUCCGCAGACUAGGAAACGAUAAUGGCCACCGUUUAAACGUCAGACACCCUGAUUUUGCGGAAAUGAGUGCGAUUAAUACGCACGUUGAACGCAAAGUAUUGUAUCUCGGGAGAUUCUGUCCUCUUUUUUCUUUUUCUCUUUUUUUUUUUUGAUGGAAUUAUUCAGGUUGCGCUUUUAAAAUGUAUUGCGCUUGCGUCCUUCACUUCUCAAGCUUAAAAUGUGUUUGAUUCUUCGAAGGAUUCUCAUGAGGUUUUGGAAGAAUUUUUGAAUGAAUCGUGGAUAGCGCUGGAUGAAUAAUUUGUGAAGUUAGCCAGGUAUUUUUGAAAUUUAGAAAUUUUAAAGAAUCAUUGUCGAUUAUUUUAAGAAGGUUUUCAAAUGUAUUGCGCUUGCGUCCUUCACUUCUCGAGCUUAAAAUGUGUUUUAUUCUUCGAAGGAUUCUCAUGAGGUUUUGGAAGAAUUUUUGAAUGAAUCGUGGAUAGCUGGAUGAAUAAUUUGUGAAGUUAGCCAGGUAUUUUUGAAAUUUAGAGAUUUUACAGAAUCGUUGUCGAUUAUUUUAAGGAGGUUUUCCAAAACUUACAUAAAACGUUUGAAGCUUUUAAAGUUUGAACAGAUGUAACAGAUAAACAGAACGAUAAAAAUUAAUUCUUAAGACUACGAUAAGAUAAUAAACAAUUCCUUAGCUUCCAAGAAGUAAUCGAAAGCGUCACGUCUGCUACAAUGUUACUAUAUAAUGACGUUACGUAUUUGUUGCUAUUCAUGAUUCUACAAUAACGUUAUUUUACAGGGUUAUUGUCAGUGAUAUUCAAAACGUAGUGAUAUGGAAAUUUCGAGGAAACAGGGUACGUCAAAACAGGUGCUGAUAUGCAAUUGUUAUAGAAACACGUGCAUUCGAGAAUCUUCAUUAUUUCCAUUUCUAUUCUUUGAAUCUUUGAGCAUUCAGAUGUAAUGUUAUCCUAAUUCUUUAUUUGUUAAAUGUUUUGCACCUGCAGUUGCAGCUUUUCGUAAUAACGAUAGAUAACGUUAUUGUAGAAUUGUAGUCAAUAUGAUAAUCAUACGAUAGAUAUGGUCGUUAUCAUUCGGCGGGUGUUAAAUAAUUCUGAAUUUCAAAGUGAAUUCAAUCGAGUGAAAUGAAUUUCGUCAAAUCCCGAAGUUCGAAAGUUUGAAAAGUCAAAAUUUCAAAGUUCAAAGAAUACAAAAUUCUAAGAUCCGAAAAUUUAAAAAACAGAAUUAAAAAAAAAAAGAUUUAAAAUUUCCAAGUUUGAAAAAUCGAAGAUACGUGCUACCAAAACUACAGAAAUUUAAAAAUUAGUCUUAAAGCAAAUUGCAGUAAGUACCACAUUAUAUUAGUACCAUAUUAUAUUAUACUACUUUCUUCUCUGUAUAUCCACACACACGCUCAUAUAUAUGUCGAAUUAUCAUUAGGGUUAGGGGCGUUUAACGAAUCUUCAUUUGGAUUAGCCAUUGUUGUUAUACCAUACAGAUGAUAGUUAAUGGUACAAAUAUGAUUAUUACAGAAUUUGACAAUUAACCGUGUCGAUUGGAUACUCGAGAUGCUAAUCACAAUAAUCUUAGGUUCAAUAACGAAUACACGGUCAACAGGAUAAUAAAUGCGCUUACUUCUCCAAAGUGCAAGUGCGACUGAACUCAAUUGUCCACGGUCCAAGUGGAACUCCUCCUGUACCUUUCUAUGUACCUCUUUGUAUCCCUUGGGUCGACUAUAUUUUUAAGGAGAGUUAUGUCACUUCGAGCCCAAGCCCACUGUCAUAAAUCUCGGCCAAACAUACUCCGAUUAGAAUAUAAACAAAUAUUUCUCAGUUUUAUUAUUCAAGUACAGUUAUAAAGAAAAGUCUGGACUAAAGUAUUGCGGACCUUCUCAAUUAUUCCAAAAGAAUAAGGCCCCGAUGUCCUUUCAUUUCCGACAUAUAUAUGUCGGGUCAGAGUUGCAACUUUGGGCAUUCGACGAAUCUUCGCUCGAAUUGACCAUCGUGGUUAUGCAUUCUAGCUGAUCGUUACUGGUACCGAUGUGAUGAUUACAAGAGGUUACAGGUAAUAACGGCAAUCGGACAAACGAGAUGUCGAUGACAAUGAAUUUAGGUUCGACACGAAUCCACGGCUAACGGAAAGACGCGUCCGAUGUGAUACGCGAUGCUGGUGUGCCUCAACGUACAAGUAGUACUUCUCUCGAUAACUCUCUGUCGGUCCAAAUGGAACUGUCCUUGUAUAGUCCUCUCCCCACCUCUCGGCUCGAUCUUUGUUUUUAAGGAGACCGUGGUUACGUUCGGUGACUCCUUAUGUCACUUCGAGCCCAAGCCGAUCAUAAUAUAUCGUCAUAAAUCUUGAGCACCCAUAAUCGGAUUAGAACAUUACAACUAUUUCUUAGUUUUAUUUCUUAAGUGUAGCUAUAAUAAAAAUCCGACUUCGGGUAUUGAGGGUUUCCCCAACCAUUUCAAAAGAAAGGCCCCGAUGUCUUUUCAUCUCCGACAUAUAUAUACCUGUUUAGUUAUUUUUAAAUAGUUACCUGAAUUAUAUAAGCAAAACGGACUAACCAAACUUCGAUACAGCUUUACAUUUCGCGAACACUGUUUCUUAUGUCUGUUCAUCUCGCGUGCAGACCACAUUGCAGUGACGUAAUUGGAAAAACUUAAUCGGACAUUCUACCGUUAUCAAUCGCACAUACCAAGAAACAUACGUACGGAAGAAACAGUUGCAUAAGAAAGCAAGAUACGCGGAGAAGAAAUUGCGUUUCUAACAGCUGUUUAGUGUAUCGCGAAGCAGGCUGGAUCGGUUUGGCUGAAACGAAGAAGCCAGUUUCGCGAAUAACGCGCGAGCAUGGCGCACAGGGUAGCAGAGAUUUUACGAUAGCAAUUAUGAGGUUGGAAGAGUUUAAUAGUACCGGCUAUAAGUCUGCCGGUAAUUGAAAGGACCGUUUUUUUCAUCGAGAAUUGACGCGGUUCGCAGAUUGCCUCUAACCAGCGCCGCGAUCUCCGUUAAUUUCCGGUAAGAUGGAGUUUUUCUGCGAAGCCGGCGAACAAAUCGACGCGCCCGCUGUAUUGUAAAUCAGCGUAAACGAUCGUGAUCGUCCAGCGCGUUUUCGAACGGAUUCAUGGGCCAAUUUGUCGAAUGUGAUAUACGUGAACCAAGCGUUUCGUUUCUUAUCGGUUUUUUUAGCUUGUAGCUUGAGCAACGAGUUUGUUCGAGUUGCUUUAAAAGCCCGUUAACGCUAUGCAGAAAUAUCGAAGAACAACUUUGUUCUCUCUCUUUAAAUGGAAUGCAACUUUUACAAAAUUGUAUUUCUCGUAACAAGGCUCGAUGUAAAACGUCGAAUGUAAAUAUGUUAACGAUCAAGGCAGUUGAUCUUUGAAAAACGACAUUAUUCUUGAUUGGUAUAACGUAGAAGUUGCUUGAAUAUGAGAGUUAAAUGAUUCAUUUCGUACAACAUAUCUGUACGCUGAAAACGAAACGAAGCACUAAGUAUUUCAAGGAAUAAUCGGCACUGAUUCGAAACGCAGAAGCAGUUGAUAUUUUUCUACCAGUUCAAUCACAAAUUGUUGAACAUAUAAUUAUACCUGUACUUAAUCACGAAUAAUACCACACCAUAUAUCCGGACUAUCAUUAAUACUAUUAUCGACCUCAGAGGAAGACAAACCCACAGAAACCGCAGAAGAAGAGAAUGGAAAGAGCAUGGAAUGAAAUUGGUGUAGAGCAAAAGAUACGCUUUCGUCGUUGUAAAUGAUAUUCAUCUUGCGAUGUUAUUAGCAGAGGACGCGGUAUCCACAACAGUAACCUUGUCGUUCUCUUGGUUUAUAUUUCCAUAGAUAUUCGACAGUUUUAUCUUGUUUGAUCUUCUAAUUGCUUUGAACAGCGUAUACGACAAAUACUCGAGAAGGAAUCGUAGAGAAAGGAAGGAAAAGGAAGAUGGAAGAGUGAAUGGAAUCGGUAGAAGAGAGAAAAGGAGAGAUAAAUUGGACAGAAAAAGGAAGAAGUGGUGUGUAUGGCAGAUGGUCAGAAAUCAUAGAAAAAGAAAAGGACGAGAGCGAAGAUGAAUGAAAAGGAAAGAAGAGGAAAUUCAGAAGAAAAAGAGCGAAGGUUACUGCGCCGAUGUAUGCAAAUUUUACACGAGCGUCGAUUUAAGCAGGCGCGGCGCGCCAGUCUGUAUAAUAGCGAGUAAACACGGCGUGUUUAAUACGCAUCGCGGAUGGAUGGAACGCGUAUGGCUGCGCGGUAAUUAGAAACGAGGCGAACGCUUGGUAGGCGUAGGCGAUAGCGAUCGCACACGAGCCAACAACCAAAGAAGAAGAACGCGGUCCGUGCGUGAAUAUUCAAGCUCCGCUAUGCUUCGUAGGAUAGCGGUCACCUGCCGCACAGGUGCCCCCUACUCCUUCGCUACCUCGUAAUUCAACCUUCAGGCCGAUCCUUACCAGCAGUCACUUCCAGGUGUUGAACAGAGAGCGUUACCCGAUUUCCGUUUUAUCUUCGCUCUGCCCCUCGCCCUUAUCUCUGUCGCUUUAUCUAGCGUCCCCGUGCGGCUCCCUUUUCACGUUUUUCCAUCUUACUUUUCCCCUAUUUUAAAAUGUACACCGAUACCGCCUACUAUUAGUCCUGCGACGUUACACGGCGUAACGAGUAAUUUAUGAAACGAGCCUCGAUCGGAAAAUACUGUUUCAAUUUGGUAUUUACAUCUUUGAUCGGAUAUCUUAUUCGAGAUUAAGGUGCGUGCUUAUCUUCGUGAUGGAGCGAAAUAACGAGAAGAAAGCGAAUAUGUAAUUGAAUAUGUUGAGAUAGUAGGUAUCAGAUAAACAAGUAAAUGCGACGAGGUGCAAAUAUAUUUUUGUAGUUUCAUUUUUACAUAGCUUGGUUAUGUAAAUGGUAUACUUGUUUCAUAUCCUGCUGGUACAUUGUUGGUUGACAAUUUGGAAUCAUUCUUCAAAUAUAUACAGAUAUAUAGAAAUAUAUACUGCUAAUAUAUACAGAUACGACGAUACUGAUCGUUAUUCUGAUAGAGUUUGAUGGAAUUUUCUCAAGGUAAUAGUAUUCCAAGUUGGCUCUUCUUUAAACUCUUCGCUGUAAUACAUACCAAGGAAUGUACUCGCGUUUGUACGUGUAACGAGUUCAUUCUACUGAAUUAGCGAAAGUAGAAGUCGCGGAUUAUUCCUUCGUUUCACAAAUUACUUUCUAAAUCGUAAACUACGAACACGCCACUGCAAAUAACCACCACAGAUUUCAUCUUUUUUGUCCGUAAAAGAUAACUAUAAAAUCGGUCAAGUGACAAAUGGCCGGGGAAAUUAAUUAAAGUCUAUCUAAACGAUUAGCUCUAUGAUUUCGUUUCUCGAUAGCUUUGUACGCUCGGUAGUUUCUCGUUAUUUUACGACUUAGGCGUUAAUGAGCAAAGAUACAGAUUCUCUUUUAAGCACCGGAUAGUCGUAAAAAUCAGAAAAGUAACAUGAAUAUACGAAAAGAAAAAUGAUACGAGAUGGCAAAAAUUGGGAGCAAAUUCUCGAGGAGCAACGAAAACACGUUCCAACCGAAGAAAUGCGAACGUGCAGGAACCAGCGAAUUCCUUUGACGCACCGACACCAUACGGGAAACAUCUGUUGGUGCACAGGGUUGGUGCACGUUUUCGCAGAAUAUUCCGUUCACCGAGAGGACAAUGUCACAUUUGCUACAUUUUCUGCGGUUUGCCCCGGCAAUCUCGACUCGAUCUCGAUAGCUGUGUACCUUUUUUACACUCCUUGUGAUCUUGGUUUAUGCGGUUCGAAUCAUUUUUGCGUUCUCUUUUUUACGGUAGCGUGACCAUAGUCUUUCGGCUAAUAACAGCCUCGAUAUACAUACAAAUUAUAUUAACACACAUAUUUGCUUCUAUCGGAGGAAAGAUAUUUUCCAUAUUUGUUUACAUGAGAUUAGGAAAUUAUAAUUUUUAACACUUUGACGAGCUUGUAAUAUUUGCCAGUUGAAAUAACUUACAAAAGAGCUUAAUUUAUUGAUCAAUGAGUCUUCGAUUUACAUAUUAAUUGAUCGAAUAGCAAAUUCUAUAUUCGAACGUCAUUCGGUACGAAGCGACGAAGAUUUUUCAGAACUGUUCAGUUAUCAGUCGAUUGGCUAUUUUUGCUUCUUCUUCUCGAAAUUCGUAUGGCGUUUGUAGGAAAUUCAUUAAUCCUAUCGUGAAGACAAAAGGAAGGAAAAAGAGCCGAUUAAGAAGACAAACGAAGGAAAGCUGUUUGAAAUACGUUGUAACGUAUUCUCAAGAUGAUCUGGUCGAAUUACUCUUUCUUUAUGGUAUUAGCAGGCUGCAAGAGCGGGGGAUUCGUAAUCCUCUUUUACCACUCUUGCUCUUCAACAGCCGGUGAUCCUUCACGACUGCAGCCAGGAUAUACUCGGCUGGACAAAAAAUUAGCGCACGGCUUACGUAAGCCUCGUUUGUUUAGGAUAAAUCGUCUGCUAAUAUCAUAAUUUCCUUUAUUAUUAAUUUACACACACUUGUAUAUCUACUUUGAGGGGUUGAUUCGAAUAAUAACGAGAGUAAGAAGUAAAGAGUCGAUCGAAAAUGUAAUUAACAGAAAACCGGUUCUUCUGAAACAUUGUGAAAAUGUUAUAGGCAAAUCGAAUAGACGCGAUAAGUCUGAGAUAUAUUAGAAAAUAAGGAAAAUGCAAUUGUACGCAAUACGCAUAAUAAGAAUUGCCUGCGUUAAAUGUUCAAACACUCGUCUAUCAAAACAACAUUGUAAACGAAGAAUAUAUAUAGAUCUAUUCAGACAGCUGCUAGAAGAAUCAUAAAACGUAGGAUUAAAUUCUGCGUCAUAGAAGGACACAUGUAACGACAGAAGAAACCGUGUAAUCAAGCAAGCAACCAAACAAUGCCCCGUUUUCUGAAACAAAAAAGGUUCGCGUCGUUUGCCGGCAAAUAGCUCUUGUUCCUAUCGAAGCCAUUCCUCGAGGCAAUGCGAAAGAAGAUAUCGUGCGUACGCGACUCGAUUUCAUAUCGCACGACAAAUUGUCAUUGUCCGCGCAUACGGUCGGUGUUUCUGAUGCAAAUGGCUUGGUUAUUAAUGUUGCGAAGAAGGCAAGGCGAGACACGCGGAUGCAAGUGCGACACGCGAGGCCCGCUGCAGUUUCCUUUGGCCGGGCCACGUGCCACACUGCGAGUUACGAAACCGUGCCCUGAGAGACAACUAUAUUACACCGUAUUCUUAAGCCGUUACGUAACUGUCGCAUGGGACGCGUUCCUCAAGUCCGUUUCGUGGUUGAUGUCGUUUUUAUUUAAGUUGUAAGUUAUAUACAGUAGGCAACAAAAAUAGGAUAAAAUUUUGUUCGAAACACUGUUUCGGAUAACGUAUAGUUUAGAAGAGAUUAUGCGGUAGAUCGAUCGUACUUGACAAAGUAUUUAUUAAUAUGUACGAGGAUGACAAGAGGAGACGAUGAUUACAAUUUCACUGUAGCUUUUGUAGGAAAUCGUCGUUCAGUGGUUCUUGAGAUUUUGUGCAAUUAUAGCGACGUAGGUGUUGCUCGAGUCUCCUGAGCCUCAAUCUUGAAAUUCAAUGUUAAACUUGGCGCAGAGAAAUCGAAUUCUUUGUAUGCUGUGAGGCAUAAGAAAGAGACAUAAAGUACACAGAAAAUGAUAUACGAAGAUAAAAAUAUCUGAUGGAAAAAAAGCGGUGUGCAGGUAGUUAGAAUAAGUUUGACCAAAAUAUAAUAGAAAGAUGAAUAUAAUAUAAUAGUAGUAUAUGAAAUGGUCAGCACUCGAGUGUCGCAUUGCGAGAGAGUUACCUGUGUAUAUUACAAUUUGAAAGCGCUAAAAGGAAUAAAAGGGACACGGCAUGCCGAGGUUACUAUUAUCAUACAAUAUCGAUAUUAAUAUUUGAAUCAUACAGCUAUAGGUUUCUCAUUACACGCAUAACCAAUACUUACGUUAAUGACUCGUUCCAUCUUCUUGUCCUAGCCUGCCAAGCCCAGCACUUUUUUUUUCUUUUUUUUUUAAAUAAAAUUAGAAAACCAAAAGCCAGCGAUCUUCACCACUGUACUUAUCAUGGUGUCCCGCGUGAUCGCGAUCCCUGAACCGGUCACAAUUAAAACUAACGAUGGGGCGCCGCCGGAAUUACGGAAAGCGUAAUAGAUUUUGAUAACAAGCUUGCAGCCGGCCGUUCCCGCAGAUUUAUACGUCCCGAGGCGAACGAUUGCCGGCGAAGAUCGACCGUGAUCCUUAAUAAUCGUCGAUAAUCGGCCGCGUAAGACGAUAAUUAGGUAUAGAAUAACCGUGGCUAAGUAUACGCUCCGGCUACGCAUCUCCCUCGUUUUUCCUCUACACACUGUCGCUUCAGCGGGUAUAUCUCUGUCUGCGUGACGCGUUUAGGGAUGAAUCGUGAAAAAGAGAGAUACCCGGCGACGGUGGCCAGCCGUUUAAUUAGUUGGCUUAACGACGCGAAAGUACAGAGGGCCGCUGGUUCUGGCCGUGGUUUCGAACCGCUUAAAUCAGGAGAACUUAUCAGGCCACCGCCGCGUUUACCGGCCAAGCAUUUAGUUUAAAUUAGCCGCGGCUCGCUCGCGCCUCGGGGAUAAAUCGACGAAAUCAUACACCUUGGUACAUUCAAUUACCGGACCAGUCGUCCCCCCUCAUUUUUCCUCUUUCUUCAGCCACUUCAUAACCGCCUCUUCGCGUUCCCCUUCUUGCGAUACGCGUGGCUUUGACUAACCGAUCCAACCUUCCGAAACGCUCUUCCGACCAUCGUGAUCGACGUUUUCCUUCGCAGUGAACUUUCUUUCGUCUCGUCACGCUGGCUUUGGGUAGUUUGAGUCACUUUGUCGGUUUUGUUGGGACCGGUGUUCGGUGCGAGCACUUGAUAGAUCCGUUGUCACGAUAGGUAUCGGUGGUAUCACCAGAUUUCCAGCUUGGUUUUGUACUUGUGAUUUUAUUCUACACGUGUGUGAUCUGUUACUUUACUUCCAUUAAACGUAUCUUGAGAGGGUAAAUUUUCUCGGAAUUUUCCAGUAAACGUAACGGAUAAGUUUCUUGGUACUUUUGGUAUGCAGUGUGACAAAGAACCGAUCAGUGUUGACGAGUAAAUAUCUUCAAAAUACAAAAAUCGUUCACAGUACAUUGUAAAUUUUCACAAUCACACGUAAACCAAGCGAUCGUUUGUUCCAAUCCAAUGACGUUUGCCGAGAACUUGAAGAAUAACAAAGAAACAUGGAUAAUUGAAAACCAGCUGCGUCCUUUUCAUAGCACAUAUUUCUCUAUUACACGAGCAGACAUGCGGGAACUAAUAAAGACGUCCAUCGAGCAGGAAUUAAAAACUUGUAGAAUAUCAACCGAAAUCCUUAAAUAAAAACGAAAUCGAUGAUAGGGGUUGAUAAGAAUCGUAAUAAACUAUUCUACCAAGUAAUAAGUAAACAAAUUCACAUGUCCACAUUUCUGCCUCGAUUAAGCAGCUGUAUACGAUGAAAACAAAUAACGAGAAAUAUACUAACGUAAUGGUGCAUAAGCUGGUGUAUAUUGCGGUCGAGUGAGAAUGUGAAUGAGAAAUCAAUGUAAAUCUGUCUCGUUCUGUAGCCGAUAAGCAGAAAUCAGUGAAACACGCACACACAAUGAUUCGUCUUUGGCAAAACAUGAUCUCAAUUAUCAUAAAAAUCAUAUAAGAGUUUACAAAUAAAUAACAAAUAUUUCAUUUACAUAAUAUGCAUAUAGCUACCAUACAAUUCGUUCAUUUUGCUUGAUUUUGUACAAUUUGAACAAAUUAUCAAAAUAUUUUUAUAACGUAAAAAAGUAUACAGAAAAUAUAAGCAACAUAUAUAUAAAUCAUCCUUAAAUUUUUAAGUCAUUCAUCGAUUCAUUCCAGAUGUUUCAUAGUCACACGUUGAAUCUGUCGAUUCGAGCGAAAUAUAAUCUAACUGAUGAAGCUAAUUCGAUGCUACUCAUCGCUACUGUAGCUAUACAUAUACAAAGUUUCUUCGACCUAUAAAAUCAGGGGAGAAUAUGAUUAAAACGAAACCCGUUUGAUACGAGAAAAGACGGUCGUUCGUAAAAAAGUGGACGAAUUACUGGCAAGAAUCUGGCAACAAAAAGAAAAAAGACAGGAAGAAGGAAAAACGUGUUCGUGAAUUUUAUAACGGUGAAGCUUAAACGUGCUUAAGUUUUGAUGAACGUCCGAGCGAGUCUGGAACCUACGUAUCUUGCAGCCAUCUGAUCCUUUACGGUCCUGCACAGAGAUUUAAAGGGGCGGGUCGUUUCUGGCCGCUCGUUCAGGAAGCAUCCCGAGGAACAGCUGAUCUUUUCGUAAAUGCUGGCCUCUCCGCAUUCCUUUAUUAAGAACCUGUGCUCUGUUCGCCUCUGGACGCGCCUCGAUUCGAAGAAGCCUUCACCGUGUGCCACGUGUUUCGAAUUAGACGAAUAUCCAACGUGUCGUUUCUAUUACAUUUUCUCUCUAUCGUAAUUUCUUUCUGUUUCGAAG
Molecule: long non-coding RNA, 12474 nt
Organism: Bombus pyrosoma
Lineage: Eukaryota; Metazoa; Arthropoda; Insecta; Hymenoptera; Apidae
Exons: 3
Source: RefSeq, a predicted model, not a curated record